AUGAAGACUGAUGAAAAAGGAAUUGAUGAAGAAAGUUGUUGAAAAAGGAAUUUCUGAUACAGGUGAAAAUAACAGCACCAGAUUCUGCAAGGUCUCCGUAGUCAAGAUUCCUAUGUAACCAAACUCCUUAAGUAGGCAUCUUGUACAUGUUAAGAUUGGAAGGCCCGAGAGCCUUCGUGCUGAAGAUCCACCCAUCCUUGAAGGAACAGGAAAUUCCUAUGCCUUGUCAACUGCACCAGAGCACAGAGAAAAAGAUGGAAAGAUUCUUAGUACAUCCUCUGAGAUCCCCGUACCCUGAUGCCAGUAGCGAAGCACAAGACAGCUGCCAAAU
This 331-nucleotide long non-coding RNA is filed under the name Rhinopithecus bieti (black snub-nosed monkey). RNAcentral describes it as "lncRNA (ENSRBIG00000046371.1)". Lineage: Eukaryota; Metazoa; Chordata; Mammalia; Primates; Cercopithecidae. The record is from RNAcentral.